Molecule: long non-coding RNA, 998 nt
Organism: Gymnodraco acuticeps
Lineage: Eukaryota; Metazoa; Chordata; Actinopteri; Perciformes; Bathydraconidae
Exons: 3
Source: RefSeq, a predicted model, not a curated record
GAACACAAAUCAAUAGAUUAAAAAUCGUGUUGGUGAACACGAAAUGCCGUGAGACUGGGUUGUAAUGUUUUGGUUUAUGAGUUCACCACACUGAUGUAGCCAGAAACAUUAGGAUGCUAAGUGAAUGGGAAAGUGUGUCUCAAACUUUUUACUGGAGCUGUAUGUAUUUAGGUUUACCACCACAUUAAGACUUGUUUUAUUCUGUGAAUGCACGUCCAGCUCCUCCACUGCAGUAUCAAAAAGGUUAUUGCGUUUAGACAGUAACCUUUCCCUAGCCUGUAAGCACAUGAGAACAGUCGCAGCUGCCUGUAAUGAAGGCAAACAGUGUAUCACAUUGUUUCCUGCAGCUUAAUCUGUGAUUCUUACAGAGGUGGUGGUGUGUGCAGCAGCAGCACAGGUAACGGUCCAAGACAGGAGAAAACAGGUUGGUAGAAAACGAGUUGUAAAGCAAAGUUAUUUAUAUUUACCUUUGCAAGACGACUAUGUGCCUUUUUCAAAAAUACACUACAUCUUGAUAUGGUUACAUUGUUUUGAUUGCAGUGGUAUAUGGAACUGGACAGUUCUGUUUUAAGGUUGUGGAGAGCAGUGUGAGGAGAGGUUGACACUGAGUGGUCCUGUGAGUCAGGAACAACUGGCUGGAAAUGAAUACUUGCACAUGGUCAAGGACCUUGCAGAGAUGAGGCAUGAUGGACUGGAAGGGUUGCCAGGCAGUAUUGGGCUUGAACGCAGGGUGCCAUUUUGUGUUAGCGGACAGAAACCGAGAUAUUACUCGAACAUUUCCUGGGACAGUGCCCUGACAGCCAGCACCCAGAUUACAUUUCUUUAGUUGGACCUUCUUUUUAUUUGUGACGCCCCUCACAUUUAUGUUACAGCCAGUGGGGUAGUGGGGAUUUUUUUACUGGGGGGACGCUAUUUUAAUUAGGUCAUCCCAAACAAUGCCACACAAGUGCGCAUGCGCGCAGUGCACUCACAAAACGGGCAGACAGGUCCACAGAAAC